GCCAGGUGCGAUGUGCUGGUCGUGCCUAUAGCCCCAGCGACUCGGGAGGCUGAGGCGGGAGGAUCACUGGAGCCCAGGAGUCCUGGGCUGUGCUGUGCUAUGCCGACUGGGUGUCUGCACUGAGUUCUUCAUCCAUGUGGUGACCUCCUGGGAGCAGGGACCACAGGUGGCCUAAGGAGGAGUGAACUGGCCCAGGUUGGAAAUGGGGCAGGUUGAAGCUCCCGUGCUGAUCCGUAGUGGGAUCAUGCCUGUGAACGGCGCUGCACCCCAGCCUAGGCAAGACAGCAAGAUCCCACCUCU
This 300-nucleotide signal recognition particle RNA is filed under the name Carlito syrichta (Philippine tarsier). RNAcentral's name for it is "Metazoan signal recognition particle RNA (ENSTSYG00000033551.1)". It matches the Rfam family "Metazoan signal recognition particle RNA". Rfam says of the family: The signal recognition particle (SRP) is a universally conserved ribonucleoprotein. It is involved in the co-translational targeting of proteins to membranes. Lineage: Eukaryota; Metazoa; Chordata; Mammalia; Primates; Tarsiidae. The record is from RNAcentral.